RNAcentral lists this ribosomal RNA (253 nucleotides) under uncultured bacterium. Its description in RNAcentral is "partial 16S ribosomal RNA". It matches the Rfam family "Bacterial small subunit ribosomal RNA", at positions 524 to 776 of the family's 1533-position model. The record is from RNAcentral.
UACGAAGGGGGCUAGCGUUGCUCGGAAUCUCUGGGCGUAAAGCGCACGUAGGCGGAUUGCUAAGUCAGGGGUGAAAUCCUGGAGCUCAACUCCAGAACUGCCUUUGAUACUGGCAAUCUCGAGUUCGGGAGAGGUGAGUGGAACUGCGAGUGUAGAGGUGAAAUUCGUAGAUAUUCGCAAGAACACCAGUGGCGAAGGCGGCUCACUGGACCGGUAUUGACGCUGAGGUGCGAAAGCGUGGGGAGCAAACAGG